Molecule: ribosomal RNA, 253 nt
Filed under: uncultured bacterium
Lineage: Bacteria
Description: partial 16S ribosomal RNA
Rfam family: Bacterial small subunit ribosomal RNA
Source: RNAcentral
UACGUAGGUGGCGAGCGUUAUCCGGAAUUACUGGGUGUAAAGCGCAAGCAGGCGGCAAUUUAAGUCUGACGUGAAAUCUCCUGGCUUAACUGGGAGAGGUCGUUGGAAACUGGAUUGCUUGAGGUGGUGAGAGGGGUGUGGAAUUCCCGGUGUAGUGGUGGAAUGCGUAGAUAUCGGGAGGAACACCAGAGGCGAAAGCGACACCCUGGCACUUGCCUGACGCUGAGAUGCGAAAGCGUGGGGAGCAAACGGG